This 1018-nucleotide ribosomal RNA is filed under the name uncultured bacterium. RNAcentral describes it as "bacterial SSU rRNA". It matches the Rfam family "Bacterial small subunit ribosomal RNA", at positions 357 to 1376 of the family's 1533-position model. The record is from RNAcentral.
AGGAAUAUUGGUCAAUGGGCGAGAGCCUGAACCAGCCAAGUAGCGUGCAGGAUGACGGCCCUAUGGGUUGUAAACUGCUUUUAUAAGGGAAUAAAGUUAGUCUCGUGAGACUUUUUGCAUGUACCUUAUGAAUAAGGACCGGCUAAUUCCGUGCCAGCAGCCGCGGUAAUACGGAAGGUCCGGGCGUUAUCCGGAUUUAUUGGGUUUAAAGGGAGCGUAGGCCGGAGAUUAAGCGUGUUGUGAAAUGUAGGCGCUCAACGUCUGCACUGCAGCGCGAACUGGUUUCCUUGAGUACGCACAAAGUGGGCGGAAUUCGUGGUGUAGCGGUGAAAUGCUUAGAUAUCACGAAGAACUCCGAUUGCGAAGGCAGCUCACUGGAGCGCAACUGACGCUGAAGCUCGAAAGUGCGGGUAUCGAACAGGAUUAGAUACCCUGGUAGUCCGCACGGUAAACGAUGGAUGCCCGCUGUUGGUCUGAACAGGUCAGCGGCCAAGCGAAAGCAUUAAGCAUCCCACCUGGGGAGUACGCCGGCAACGGUGAAACUCAAAGGAAUUGACGGGGGCCCGCACAAGCGGAGGAACAUGUGGUUUAAUUCGAUGAUACGCGAGGAACCUUACCCGGGCUUGAAUUGCAGAGGAAGGAUUUGGAGACAAUGACGCCCUUCGGGGCCUCUGUGAAGGUGCUGCAUGGUUGUCGUCAGCUCGUGCCGUGAGGUGUCGGCUUAAGUGCCAUAACGAGCGCAACCCCUCUCCUUAGUUGCCAUCAGGUUAAGCUGGGCACUCUGGGGACACUGCCACCGUAAGGUGUGAGGAAGGUGGGGAUGACGUCAAAUCAGCACGGCCCUUACGUCCGGGGCUACACACGUGUUACAAUGGCAGGUACAGAGAGACGGUCCCUUGCAAAAUGGAUCAAAUCCUUAAAGCCUGUCUCAGUUCGGACUGGGGUCUGCAACCCGACCCCACGAAGCUGGAUUCGCUAGUAAUCGCGCAUCAGCCAUGGCGCGGUGAAUACGUUCCCG